AAACCAACAGGGAUUGCCCUAGUAACGGCGAGUGAAGCGGCAACAGCUCAAAUUUGAAAUCUGGCUCUCGGGCCCGAGUUGUAAUUUGUAGAGGAUGCUUUUGGUGAGGUGCCUUCCGAGUUCCCUGGAACGGGACGCCACAGAGGGUGAGAGCCCCGUCUGGUUGGACACCGAUCCUCUGUAAAGCUCCUUCGACGAGUCGAGUAGUUUGGGAAUGCUGCUCUAAAUGGGAGGUAUAUGUCUUCUAAAGCUAAAUACCGGCCAGAGACCGAUAGCGCACAAGUAGAGUGAUCGAAAGAUGAAAAGAACUUUGAAAAGAGAGUUAAAAAGUACGUGAAAUUGUUGAAAGGGAAGCGCUUGUGACCAGACUUGGGCUUGGUUGAUCAUCCAGGGUUCUCCCUGGUGCACUCUUCCGGCCCAGGCCAGCAUCAGUUCGCCCUGGGGGAAAAAGGCUUCGGGAAUGUGGCUCUCUCCGGGGAGUGUUAUAGCCCGUUGCGUAAUACCCUGUGGCGGACUGAGGUUCGCGCAUUCGCAAGGAUGCUGGCGUAAUGGUCAUCAGUGAC
Molecule: ribosomal RNA, 563 nt
Filed under: Fusarium sp. BLB-2006a
Lineage: Eukaryota; Fungi; Ascomycota; Sordariomycetes; Hypocreales; Nectriaceae
Description: eukaryotic LSU rRNA
Rfam family: Eukaryotic large subunit ribosomal RNA
Source: RNAcentral